This 468-nucleotide ribosomal RNA is filed under the name uncultured bacterium. RNAcentral's name for it is "partial 16S ribosomal RNA". It matches the Rfam family "Bacterial small subunit ribosomal RNA", at positions 28 to 507 of the family's 1533-position model. The record is from RNAcentral.
GACGAACGCUGGCGGCGUGCUUAACACAUGCAAGUCGAACGGAAAGGCCCUGCUUUUGUGGGGUGCUCGAGUGGCGAACGGGUGAGUAACACGUGAGUAACCUGCCCUUGACUUUGGGAUAACUUCUCGAAACUGGGUCUAAUACCGGAUAGGAGCUCCUGCUGCACGGUGGGGGUUGGAAAGUUUCGGCGGUUGGGGAUCGCCUCGCGGCUUAUCAGCUUGUUGGUCGGGUAGUGGCUUACCAAGGCUUUGACGGGUAGCCGGCCUGGGCGGGUGACCGGCCACAUGGGGACUGAGGUACGGCCCAGACUGCUACGGGAGGCAGCAGUGGGGAGUAUUGCGCAGUGGGCGGAAGCCUGCUGCGGCGGCGCCGCGUGCGGGAUGACGGCCUUCGGGUUGUGAACCGCUUUCGCCUGUGACGAAGCCUGAGUGACGGUAAUGGGUAAAGAAGCACCGGCUAACUACGUG